UGGGAUGUGGCUUAGUGGUAGAGUGCUUGCCUAUCGUGCCCAACUGGGUUCAAUCCCUGGCAUCUCAA
RNAcentral lists this transfer RNA (68 nucleotides) under Fukomys damarensis (Damara mole-rat). It matches the Rfam family "tRNA". Rfam says of the family: Transfer RNA (tRNA) molecules are approximately 80 nucleotides in length. Their secondary structure includes four short double-helical elements and three loops (D, anti-codon, and T loops). The record is from Rfam by way of RNAcentral. Lineage: Eukaryota; Metazoa; Chordata; Mammalia; Rodentia; Bathyergidae.